Molecule: transfer RNA, 87 nt
Filed under: Endomicrobium proavitum
Lineage: Bacteria; Pseudomonadati; Elusimicrobiota; Endomicrobiia; Endomicrobiales; Endomicrobiaceae
Rfam family: tRNA
About the family: Transfer RNA (tRNA) molecules are approximately 80 nucleotides in length. Their secondary structure includes four short double-helical elements and three loops (D, anti-codon, and T loops).
Source: Rfam by way of RNAcentral
GGAGAGGUGUCCGAGCGGUUUAAGGAGAUAGUCUUGAAAACUAUUGUAGCGGAAACGUUACCGGGGGUUCGAAUCCCUCCCUCUCCG